This 24-nucleotide non-coding RNA is filed under the name Arabidopsis thaliana (thale cress). Lineage: Eukaryota; Viridiplantae; Streptophyta; Magnoliopsida; Brassicales; Brassicaceae. The record is from RNAcentral.
CGCCAGCCGAUGACUUACUGUCUC